AAGCGUUUAUGACCAGACUUGGGCUUGGUUGAUCAUCUGGGGUUCUCUCCAGUGCACUUUUCCAGUCCAGGCCAGCAUCAGUUUUCGCCGGGGGAUAAAGGCUUCGGGAAUGUGGCUCCCCUCGGGGAGUGUUAUAGCCC
RNAcentral lists this ribosomal RNA (140 nucleotides) under Fusarium graminearum. RNAcentral describes it as "partial large subunit ribosomal RNA". Lineage: Eukaryota; Fungi; Ascomycota; Sordariomycetes; Hypocreales; Nectriaceae. The record is from RNAcentral.